RNAcentral lists this transfer RNA (67 nucleotides) under Thaumetopoea wilkinsoni (Cyprus processionary caterpillar). RNAcentral describes it as "transfer RNA-Ser". Lineage: Eukaryota; Metazoa; Arthropoda; Insecta; Lepidoptera; Notodontidae. The record is from RNAcentral.
AAUUAAUGAGCUUAUCUAAGCAUUUGUUUUGAAAACUUAAGAAAGAAUAUAACCAUUCUAUUAAUUU